UGGGACUGUGUUCUCUGCUUGGUUGGUCCUCCCAUGGGGAACAGCUGCACAGCUCCUGCAUGACCUCCAGAUCUUUCAGGAAGCUAUACUGAGCAUGCAGAGUGCUGGAAGUCAUUUAUUGCUUCUAAUCCAAGGACACUGGCUGGUCACCUGCAGUGAUGAGGAAGAAACUGUCUAUCAAAUUAUGAAGCAGUUUCUCUGUGAAUCGGUGCAUGUGGACAACUAGAAGAACCAAAAGUCUAAUCCAAGGUCCACUUAAUCUGCGGG
This 267-nucleotide long non-coding RNA is filed under the name Gallus gallus (chicken). RNAcentral's name for it is "long non-coding RNA NONGGAT004190". The record is from RNAcentral. Lineage: Eukaryota; Metazoa; Chordata; Aves; Galliformes; Phasianidae.